GACGAACGCUGGCGGCGUGCUUAACACAUGCAAGUGGAGCGACGAACCGGGGCUUGCCCCGGGGCAGAGCCGCGAACGGGUGAGUAACACGUGGGUAACCUACCCUGAUGACCGGGACAA
RNAcentral lists this ribosomal RNA (120 nucleotides) under uncultured bacterium. Its description in RNAcentral is "partial 16S ribosomal RNA". It matches the Rfam family "Bacterial small subunit ribosomal RNA", at positions 28 to 146 of the family's 1533-position model. The record is from RNAcentral.